This 2877-nucleotide ribosomal RNA is filed under the name Triticum aestivum (bread wheat). Its description in RNAcentral is "partial small subunit ribosomal RNA". Lineage: Eukaryota; Viridiplantae; Streptophyta; Magnoliopsida; Poales; Poaceae. The record is from RNAcentral.
AUGGAUAUUGUCACGAGUGCCAUUGCCAAGCUGAUCCCCAAGCUGGCCGACCUACUUGUGGGGGAGUACAAGCUGCACAAGAACGUCAAGAAAAAUAUCGAGGACCUCCUGAAGGAGCUUGAGAGCAUGAACGUUGCCCUCAUCAAGAUUGGUGAGGUGCCGCGGGACCAGCUCGACAAACAAGACAAGCUCUGGGCCGAUGAUGUCAGAGAGCUCUCCUAUGUCAUCGAGGAUGUCGUUGACAAGUUCCUCGUACGAGUCGACCACAUUCAGCCUGACGACGCCACAAACAAAUUCAAGGGGCUCAUGAAGAGGACGACCAAGUUGCUGAAGAAAGUCAAGGAUAAGUAUGGGAUAGCUCACGCAAUCAAGGACAUCCAGGAGCAACUCCAGAAGGUGGCCGCUAGGCGUGACAGGAACAAGGUAGUUGUUCCUAAUCCUACGGAACCAAUUACUAUUGAUCCUUGUCUUCGAGCUUUGUACGCAGAAGCGACAGAGCUAGUUGGCAUAUAUGGGAAGAGGGACGAGGAGCUCAUGAGGUUGCUCUCCAUGGAGGGUGAUGAUGCCUCUAAGAACAGACUAAAGAAGGUCUCCAUUGUUGGAUUUGGAGGAUUGGGCAAAACCACUCUUGCUAGAGCAGUAUACGAGAAGAUUAAAGGUGAUUUCGAUUGUCGGGCAUUUGUUCCCGUCGGUCAGAACCCUGACAUGAAGAAGGUUUUAAGGGAUAUCCUCAUUGAUCUCAGCGACGGCAACCCUCAGUCAGAUCUUUCAAUACUGGAUGUUAAUCAUCUUAUUAAAAAGCUUCAUCAAUUCCUGGAGAACAAGAGGUAUCUUGUCAUAAUUGAUGAUAUAUGGGAUGAAAAAUUGUGGGAACACAUCAACUUUGCUUUCUCCAACAGGAAUAAUCUAGGCAGUCGACUAAUUACGACAACCCGCAUUGUCAGUGUCUCCAAUUCAUGUUGCUCGUUGGACCAUGAUUCGGUUUAUCAAAUGGAACCACUUUCUGUUGAUGACUCCAGAAGACUCUUCUACAAAAGAAUAUUUCCAUUCGAGAGUGGAUGUCCAAAUGAAUUUGAACAAGUGUCUACAGAUAUUCUGAAGAAAUGUGGUGGGGUACCACUAGCCAUCAUUACUAUUGCUAGUGCUUUGGCUGGUGGCCAGAAGGUGAAACCAAAGUGUGAGUGGGAUGUUCUGCUCCAAUCCCUUGGCUCUGGACUAACAGAAGAUAAUAGUUUAGAGGAGAUGCGGAGAAUACUCUCUUUCAGCUAUUAUAAUCUACCGUCCCAUCUGAAAACUUGUCUACUAUACCUAUGUAUAUAUCCAGAAGAUAGCACGAUUGAUAGAGAUGGACUGAUAUGGAAGUGGGUGGCCGAAGGAUUUGUCCACCAUGGAGAUCAAGGGACCAGCCUGUUUUUGGUCGGAUUGAACUACUUCAACCAGCUCAUUAAUAGAAGUAUGAUCCAGCCAAUAUAUGAUCCUCUCGGCCAGGUAUAUGCUUGCCGUGUACAUGAUAUGGUUCUGGACCUUAUCUGCAACUUGUCACAUGAAGCAAAGUUUGUUAAUCUAUUGGAUGGCACUGGGAAUCACAUCAUGUCUUCACAAAGUAAUAUUCGUCGUUUGUCUCUUCAGAAUAAAAAUGAAGACCAUCAAGCCAAGCCUCUCACAAAUAUCAUGAGCAUGUCACAAGUGAGGUCAAUUACCAUCUUUCCACCUGCUGUUAGUAUCAUGCCAAGUCUGUCAAUGUUUGAAGUUCUGCGUGUACUUGAUCUGUCGCAUUGUAAUCUGGGAGAAAGUAGCAGCCUGCAGCUUAACCUCAAGGGUGUUGGACACUUAAUUCACCUAAGGUACCUUGGUCUAUCAGGUACCAAAAUCAGUAAGCUUCCGGCUGAGAUAGGAAACCUGCAGUUUUUGGAGGUGUUGGAUCUUGGAAACAAUGAUAAGCUAGAUGAAUUGCCGUCCACUGUUUGUAAUUUGAGAAGAUUAAUCUACCUAAAUGUUUUUUCCAGUAAGGUGGUUCCAACUCCUGGUGUGUUGCAGAAUCUGACAUCCAUUGAAGUGUUGAGGGGAGUCUUGGUCUCUCUGAACAUUAUUGCACAAGAGCUUGGCAAACUGGCAAGGCUGAGGGAGCUUCAGAUUUGCAUCAAGGAUGGUAGUUUGGAUUUGUAUGAAUGUUUUGUGAAGUCUCUGUGCAACCUAGAUCACAUCGAAAGCCUAUAUAUUCGUUGCAAUUCCGAAGAAACAUCUUUUGAACUGAUGGAUCUCUUGGGAGAAUGCUGGGUGCCUCCUGUACAUCUCCGCAAAUUUGUGUCUUCGACGCCUACCCAACUCUAUGCACUGCAAGGGUGGAUAAAGAGAGACCCCUCGCAUCUCUCGAACCUCUCUGAGUUAAUCUUCUAUUCAGUGAAGGAAGUGCAGCAGGAGGACGUGGAAAUCAUUGGGGGGUUGUUGUCCCUUCGCCGUCUCUGCAUAAGGAGCACCCACCAAACACAACGGCUGCUAGUCAUCCGUGCCGAUGGGUUCCGCUGUAUGGUAGACUUUUACUUGAAUUGUGGGUCAGCAGCGCAGAUCAAGUUUGAACCAGGAGCCUUGCCAAGGGCGGAAGAAGUUACGUUCAGCCUGGGCGUGCGGGUGGCGAAAGAGGAUGGAAACUGUGGUUUCGACUUGGGCCUGCAGGGGAACCUGCUCUCCCUUCGGCGGCCGGUCAUGGUUUGGAUGUAUUGUGGUGGAGCGAGGGUUGGGGAGGCAAAGGAAGCGGAGGCUGCGGUGAGGCGCGCCCUCGAAGCCCAUCCCAACCAUCCCAGGAUUUAUAUUGACAUGUGGCCGCGUAUAGCAGAAGAUGCUCAUGAUGACGAUUUGUGUGAGGACGAGGAGAACUGA